UUUGUUUCUGUUGUAUAUGCAAUGGAGUUACCGUUAAAUUAAACAAAACUGAAAACUGAACAGCAAAAUCACUCAAGCAAUUUUAAGAGGAUUUUUUCUGUGUACUUCGUCUUUUACAACGUAGUUGACCUCAUCGCAUCCAUUGCAUAUUCAUCUGCAUUUUCGCAAUGAAAAAUUUUUUAACAUACGAAUAUAUACCUGCACACAUUUGAAGAAGACGUUAAAAGGUUUAUGGAUGACAGAGUAUUGUAGGUCUGUGUCCACUGUUUCCGUUUGCGUUAGUUGACAAGCCGACAUGCUUCUUCUUUUUGCAACGCUUCACUUUGUCCUAAUUAAUGUUAAUAUAAUAAUAUUGAGUUUGUCUGA
Long non-coding RNA from Eupeodes corollae, 366 nucleotides. RefSeq lists it as uncharacterized. The record is from RefSeq and is a predicted model, not a curated record. The transcript is spliced from 3 exons. NCBI's taxonomy places the organism in Eukaryota, Metazoa, Arthropoda, Insecta, Diptera, Syrphidae.